GGGGAAUAUUGGACAAUGGGCGCAAGCCUGAUCCAGCCAUGCCGCGUGAGUGAUGAAGGCCCUAGGGUUGUAAAGCUCUUUCAACGGUGAAGAUAAUGACGGUAACCGUAGAAGAAGCCCCGGCUAACUUCGUGCCAGCAGCCGCGGUAAUACGAAGGGGGCUAGCGUUGUUCGGAAUUACUGGGCGUAAAGCGCACGUAGGCGGAUUGGUCAGUUAGGGGUGAAAUCCCAGGGCUCAACCCUGGAACUGCCUUUAAUACUGCCGGUCUAGAGUUCGAGAGAGGUGAGUGGAAUUCCGAGUGUAGAGGUGAAAUUCGUAGAUAUUCGGAGGAACACCAGUGGCGAAGGCGGCUCACUGGCUCGAGACUGACGCUGAGGUGCGAAAGCGUGGGGAGCAAAC
This 400-nucleotide ribosomal RNA is filed under the name uncultured bacterium. Its description in RNAcentral is "bacterial SSU rRNA". It matches the Rfam family "Bacterial small subunit ribosomal RNA", at positions 356 to 773 of the family's 1533-position model. The record is from RNAcentral.